UUUUCAUGCCUGUGACGAGAUGUCCAUGGGGAUCCAUCCCAAUUUGAAUUGAAACUUCAUGUCACCUCGUUGUGGUCAAUUUACUAAAUAUUAACUGGGUUGUUGACUGUUGGUGCUGCUGACUCGCUGAUGGCUUUCGGACAUGCUGCAGACGUUUAGAUGCUGAUUCUUGGAGAUGCUGCUGGUGGAGCAUUGGGCGGUGAAGAGGCUGGCCAAUCGCAGAUAUCGGCCUGAGUGGAGGAAUGCCGCCCUAAAUUGUCGGGGUUGAAGCCUAUGGAUGACAUGCUACUGGGCCCAUGACUCCUUGGCGUCUCUGCCUCGCCGUCAGCUGAUGUAGCAGUGCCUGAUGGGAUGGCGUUAAACCUAGCUCCGCAGUGCAGGCUGGAUGCUUGGCUGAAUCAGACUAGGCGCUGGGACAGCAAAUAAUAGCAGUGUUGGUGGGAAUGCGAGCAGCCGCAGUAAUAUCUACCACCCAGCAAUGGUCGGCAUAGUUCCGCCUGGUGGACAGACGACAGAUCAAUUCAGUCGGUUAUUUGAUCCCUCCAGCCAGGCUCAGCCUAGCAGCCGAGACAAUAGAACAAUGGAGUGACUGUCUUAUUUGCGUCCAUCAGCAGUUUUCUUUCUCACGACUAUUUUGA
Molecule: long non-coding RNA, 638 nt
Organism: Nilaparvata lugens (brown planthopper)
Lineage: Eukaryota; Metazoa; Arthropoda; Insecta; Hemiptera; Delphacidae
Exons: 3
Source: RefSeq, a predicted model, not a curated record